RNAcentral lists this ribosomal RNA (889 nucleotides) under Entrophospora claroidea. RNAcentral's name for it is "partial large subunit ribosomal RNA". It matches the Rfam family "Eukaryotic large subunit ribosomal RNA", at positions 57 to 790 of the family's 3401-position model. The record is from RNAcentral. Lineage: Eukaryota; Fungi; Glomeromycota; Glomeromycetes; Entrophosporales; Entrophosporaceae.
AAAAGAAACUAACAAGGAUUCCCCUAGUAACGGCGAGUGAAGAGGGAAGAGCUCAAAUUUUAAAUCUGCCUUGUUUCAAGGUCGAGUUGUAAUUUGAAGAAGCGUUUUCUUGGGCUCGCGGCCGGUAGAAGUUCUUUGGAACAGGACAUCAUAGAGGGUGACAAUCCCGUCUGCGACCGGUCGUGCGUUCAUCUACGAUACGCUUUCAAAGAGUCGAGUUGUUUGGGAUUGCAGCUCCAAAUGGGUGGUAAACAUCACCUAAGGCUAAAUAUUGGCGAGAGACCGACNGCGAACAAGUACCGUGAGGGAAAGAUGAAAAGAACUUUGAAAAGAGAGUAAACGCUACGUGAAAGUGUUGAAAGGGAAACGAUUGAGCUCAGUCGUGCUGGCGCGAAAUCGACCCUCUCGUCUUGAGAUCACAUGGCGCGACGAGCCUCAAAACCGUCACGAAGCGUGAACUCUUGNCGAGGGGGAGCACUUUCGUGUCCGCUGGUUAACAUCAAUUUCGAACGUCAUAAAAAGGCUGGAGGGAUGUGGCUCCUUCGGGAGUGUUAUAACCUUUAGCGGAAUGUGGUGGUCGGGAUUGAGGAUUGCAACGAAUACCUUUAGGGCUGUUCCACCUGGCCUCUCUUUGGUAUCCUGGUGACGACAGCUUGCUGACGUUGUUAGGAUUCGCCUUUGAACAGGCUAGAGUGUGAGCAAAUUCGUUAAGGAUGUUAACGUAAUGGCUUUAAACGACCCGUCUUGAAACACGGACCAAGGAGUCUAGCAUAUAUGCGAGUGUUUGAGUGUUGAAACUCGAGCGCGAAAUGAAAGUGAUAUUGGUAAGAUCCUCUUCCCCUCGGGGGAGCGGAGCAUUAUCGACCGAUCUGGUAUUCUUUGAUAGAUU